UACGUAGGUGGCGAGCGUUGUCCGGAUUUACUGGGCGUAAAGAGCGCGCAGGCGGUCGUUCAAGUCGGGUGUGAAAGCCCCCGGCUCAACUGGGGAGGGUCACGCGAUACUGAUCGACUCGAAGGCAGGAGAGGGUAGUGGAAUUCCCGGUGUAGUGGUGAAAUGCGUAGAUAUCUGGAGGAACACCGGUGGCGAAGGCGGCAUCCUGGACCAACACUGACGCUGAGGAGCGAAAGCCAGGGGAGCAAACGGG
This 253-nucleotide ribosomal RNA is filed under the name uncultured bacterium. RNAcentral describes it as "partial 16S ribosomal RNA". It matches the Rfam family "Bacterial small subunit ribosomal RNA", at positions 524 to 776 of the family's 1533-position model. The record is from RNAcentral.